Molecule: long non-coding RNA, 1403 nt
Filed under: Hordeum vulgare
Lineage: Eukaryota; Viridiplantae; Streptophyta; Magnoliopsida; Poales; Poaceae
Description: long non-coding RNA (HVUL_LNC011381)
Source: RNAcentral
GAUAGCAACGUGUAGUAGAAAAGAUACACAGAAGGUAGAUAAAACUGGAUAAAAAGAAUAAUAGGAUAAAAAAAUGUUUGGACAAAAGGGAUCCUCUUGCACAACAAAAGUGCUAAACUUACAGGAGUAAGCAACGAGGAGGUAAGAAGAACCAUGUUAAAAUUGCUCUUUUUUCGCUAUGGACAAAAGGGAUCAUCCAUCUCGGUGUAUAAGUCAUUUUAGGUUGUGCACCGUGACCAAGACGGAGAGAAAAACGAGAGAAAUCAAUGCUAAUUUGCUAAUUAAUACCAUUGCAUGCAAUGAAUUGACCAAUGCAUGUUGUGCUAGUUAGUCUCAAGUCAUUAAAAACAUACAUGCCCCAUGUCUCUUAUUGGUUGAUUCCAUUAUUCAUGUCAAAAAACAAAAAACAAGGUGAAAGUUAAUGCAUCAUGCCUAAGUGUUUUGGGAUUAUUAGGUUUUCGUAAGAUGACUUAUUCACCGAGAUGGAGGGAGUACUAAUAACUCUUGAGGUCUAAGGCCCUGUUUGGAUCCAUGGGCUAGAGUUAGUUUGAGCUAGUUUGAGUUCAACUAGCACUAAAGUAUCCAAACAAAAGGGUUAGAUGGGAGCUAGUUGCAUCUAACCCACCUAAAAAAACUAGCUCACCCAAGAGGUGCUAAUUGGAGCUAGUUCUCAUGAGGUUCAUUAAAAAAUAUUUUUCUCUCUCUCUUCCACUAGCCAAGAGAUGCUAAUUGAAGCUAGUUUUCAUGGGGUCCAUUAAAAAAUCACUUUUCUCUUUCCAUAAAGUGCAUCUAUUGUCAAUCUAACCCUUCCAUCCAAACACCUAUUUGGCUAGAGUCAGUUUAGGGUUAGUCAUGAGCUAGAAACUAACUCUAACCACUAGCUAAGCUAGAGUAUCCAAACAGGGCCUAACAAGUAUUCAAGGUUAGUGGUCCUACCGUGAUAUUGAGUUGUGUCGGGAGGAAAAAAAACACUGCUGAUUGUCUUGAUUGUGGUUAAGAUAAUUAGGUGACCACCUGCAUCAUGGAUGUCUGUGGCGCACGAUGAAGAGCAGAAUUAAUUGUAGGAUAGCAACGUGCAGCUACCGCUUUGUGUUAGCUACUAGAAAAGAUACACAGAAGGUAGAUAAAAGUGGAUGAAAAAAAAAUGUUUGGACUUAGAGGAGUAAGCAAAGAGGAGGUAAGAAGAACCAUGUUAAAAUUGCUCUUUUUUCACUAUGAGCUAAUCACCUCAUGCAUGAAAUCUUGUCCCUAAGAAAUUUCUAGCAUUACUCAUGGCAUAAUAAGGUAAAAAAAUAUAUAACAGAGUUGCACUUCACAUAACCUUAAAAAUUACACGUCCCUUUUAUUUAUACAUUUAUUCGCUGAAUGACAUGCACUCACCCGUCAUGAAGGCACGCAUAUAU